Molecule: microRNA precursor, 55 nt
Filed under: Pelodiscus sinensis (Chinese soft-shelled turtle)
Lineage: Eukaryota; Metazoa; Chordata; Testudines; Trionychidae
Description: miRNA (ENSPSIG00000019864.1)
Source: RNAcentral
GCCUACUGUUACAUGGGAGGCAGCGUGGUCUAGUGGACAGAGCGCUGGAUCAGGA